GAUGAAGAACGUAGCGAAAUGCGAUAACUAAUGUGAAUUGAAGAAUUCAGUGAAUCAUCGAAUCUUUGAACGCACAUUGCGCCCCUUGGUAUUCCGGGGGGCAUGCCUCUUCCAGCGUCAUUUCACCCCUCAAGCUCUGCUUGGUUUUGGGCCGCGCCGGCAACGGCGGGCCUCGAAAAUAGUGGCGACGCCAUCGUGCUCUCAGCGUAGUAAUUCUUCUCGCUGUUGGGUCCCGGUGGUCGUCCGCCAGCAACCCCCAACUUUCUUAAGUUUGACCUGGGAUGAGGUAGGGAUACCCGCUGAACUUAAGCAUAUCAAUAAGCGGAGGA
Molecule: unclassified non-coding RNA, 329 nt
Filed under: soil metagenome
Description: partial contains 5.8S ribosomal RNA, internal transcribed spacer 2, and large subunit ribosomal RNA
Rfam family: 5.8S ribosomal RNA (bases 1-120)
Source: RNAcentral